AGCUUCUGGAAUUAAUCUGAAGUUAAACCUGCCCAAUGUUUUAGAUGAAUGGCCGCGGUACUCUGACCGUGCUAAGGUAGCGCAAUCAAUUGGCUUUUAAUUGGAGUCGGGUAUGAAUGGAAUUACGGAAUUCAGCUGUCUCUUAAUUAAUAAUUUGAAAUUACUUUGUAGGUGAAAAAGCCUAUAAUGAGAAAAGGGACGAGAAGACCCUUAGAGUUUUUCCUAGUUGGAGAUUAUAAAUAAGUAUUCAUAAUGGUUUAGUUGGGGCAACAUAGGAGCAGCAGUAUAAUCUCCUAAAUAUAAUCAACCGAUUAUUUUAAAUUUGAAUAAACUACCUUAGGGAUAACAGCAUAAUUUAAUAAAUAAGUUUGUGACCUCGAUGUUGGACUAGGAAACUCAAAGGCUAGCCGUUUUUGGGAGAAGUUCUGUUCGAACUAUUAUUCCU
Molecule: ribosomal RNA, 445 nt
Filed under: Glossodoris hikuerensis
Lineage: Eukaryota; Metazoa; Mollusca; Gastropoda; Nudibranchia; Chromodorididae
Description: partial 16S ribosomal RNA
Rfam family: Bacterial large subunit ribosomal RNA
Source: RNAcentral